This 771-nucleotide long non-coding RNA is filed under the name Homo sapiens (human). Its description in RNAcentral is "HSALNT0034370". The record is from RNAcentral. Lineage: Eukaryota; Metazoa; Chordata; Mammalia; Primates; Hominidae.
CUGCUUUAUUCAUAAUAGCCAAAAAUUAGAAACAACCUAGAUAUUCUUCAGUGGAUAGAUGGUUAAACAAACUGUGGUACAUCAACACUACGGAAUACUACUCAGCAACUGAAAACAAAUGAACUAUGGAUACACUCAACAACCUGGAUGAAUCACCAGAGAAUUACGACGAGUGGAGAAAAACAGCCAAUCUCAUAUGGUCAUAUACUCUAUCAGAAUCCAAGCAACAGGUUAGCUCCAUGUAUUUGGUGCAUGGUAAAGCCGAGUUGAGUGAAUAACUAAUUCUGUUUAAACCCCCUAUCCUUCUGCCUCCUCCCUUCUCUACGAAAUGAUACAUAGCAAUGAGGUAAGUAGGAUAAUACAUAGCCUCUUUAUGUAUUAGUUUUCUAUUGUGUAACAAAUUGCCCCCAGAAUUUAGUAGCUUAAGACAGUUUCUUUAGGUGAGGAUUGUGGGAGCAGUCUGGCUGGGUGGUCUGACCCAGUGUCUCUCAGAAAGUUGGUCUUGAACUCCUGACCUCAGAUGAUCCAACCGCCUCAGCCUCCUAAAGUACUGGGAUUACAGGUGUGAACCACCACGCCCAACUUCUCAUAAAGUUGGAAUCAUCUGAAGACCUGAUUGGAGCUGGAGGACUUGCUCUCAAGGUCACACACCAAUGGUUCUUUGCCAACUGUGAGCUGGAGGCCAAAGUUCCUCACCUCAUUGACCUCUUCACAGGGCUGCUUCAGUGUCCUGAUUACAUGGCAGACGGAUUCCCUCACAAACAAUUAAAC